Ornithorhynchus anatinus (platypus) is the source of this 939-nucleotide long non-coding RNA. RefSeq lists it as uncharacterized. The record is from RefSeq and is a predicted model, not a curated record. Lineage: Eukaryota; Metazoa; Chordata; Mammalia; Monotremata; Ornithorhynchidae. The transcript is spliced from 2 exons.
GCAGCCCGCCGGCCGGAGGCUGUUUGACUUCAUGCUCCUCCGGGGGCGGGGGGAGUGUACUGGCCGCCUCAAUGGGGCAACGGCUUCCCUUCCAGGGGCUCUUUGACUUCAUGUGCCUCCGGCGGGGGGGAUGUACUGGCCGCCUCAAUGGGGCAACGGCUUCCCUUCCAGGGGCUCUUUGACUUCAUGUGCCUCCGGCGGGGGGAUGUACUGGCCGCCUCAAUGGGGCAACGGCUUCCCUUCCAGGGGCUCUUUGACUUCAUGUGCCUCCGGCGGGGGGAUGUACUGGCCGCCUCAAUGGGGCAACGGCUUCCCUUCCAGGGGCUCUUUGACUUCAUGUGCCUCCGGCGGGGGGAUGUACUGGCCGCCUCAAUGGGGCAACGGCUUCCCUUCCUCCUCCCCUCUUUUUUCCGAAAGCCGAGGCUCUGUCCCCAAGCCGGCCGCAACCCUGGCGUCCCUAGGCUACAACCUCCAGCUGCUUUUCCUCCCUAAAAUGCCAAUUAAGACCGUGAGCCCCACGGUCUGCCCCAGCGCUUAGCACACAGUAAGCGCUUAACAAACACCCAUAAUAAUAAUUAUUAUUAUUAUUUUCAGACGCCGACCCGGGUUGAAGGUGUGCGGUUACUACCGGCAGGGCUUCGGGACCAGCUAUGGCUGUCUCUGUAGAUUAGCCCCUCAAUUGUAUUAUAUCUGCUUGCCUUCUGCCUGGACCACUUCAUAAAAUGUGCUUGAUCUCCAGAUUUUCUCCCUAUAUUGUGUAGCUAGCUGUGUGCCUCCUCCUAAACCCUAGAGAGCAAUAGAAAGCCCUUUUCUUAUAUCUCAGACUUACUGAAAAAUCAGAGGAAGCUCUUUGGAAACAACAACAGCAACAACAAUAGGAAUAAAAGCUAAAAAUGAAAACUCCAAAAAUGACUUAAAUAAAAAUGUGAAAGAACACAA